This 408-nucleotide ribosomal RNA is filed under the name uncultured bacterium. RNAcentral describes it as "partial 16S ribosomal RNA". It matches the Rfam family "Bacterial small subunit ribosomal RNA", at positions 28 to 526 of the family's 1533-position model. The record is from RNAcentral.
GACGAACGCUGGCGGCGUGCUUAACACAUGCAAGUCGAACGAAGUGGCGAACGGGUGAGUAACGCGUAUUCAACCUGCCCUUCAGAGGGGGACAACAGCUGGAAACGACUGCUAAUACCGAAUACCGACGGCGGGGACUGCGUCUGAUUAGCUAGUUGGAGAGGCAACGGCCCACCAAGGCGAUGAUCAGUAGCCGGUCUGAGGGGAUGAACGGCCACACUGGGACUGAAACACGGCCCAGACUCCUACGGAAGGCGGCUGUAGGGAAUCUUCCGAAAUGGACGAGAGUCUGACGGAGCAACGCCGCGUGAGUGAUGACGGCCAUCGGGUUGGAAAGCUCUGUUAAUCGGGACGCGGUACCGGAGUAGAGAGCCACGGCUAACUACGUGCCAGCCGCGGCGGUAAUUC